RNAcentral lists this ribosomal RNA (1273 nucleotides) under Acinetobacter sp. RNAcentral describes it as "bacterial SSU rRNA". It matches the Rfam family "Bacterial small subunit ribosomal RNA", at positions 63 to 1328 of the family's 1533-position model. Lineage: Bacteria; Pseudomonadati; Pseudomonadota; Gammaproteobacteria; Moraxellales; Moraxellaceae. The record is from RNAcentral.
CGAGCGGAGAUAUAGUGCUUGCACUAUAUUUUAGCGGCGGACGGGUGAGUAAUACUUAGGAAUCUGCCUAUUAAUGGGGGACAACAUCUCGAAAGGGAUGCUAAUACCGCAUACGCCCUACGGGGGAAAGCAGGGGAUCACUUGUGACCUUGCGUUAAUAGAUGAGCCUAAGUCGGAUUAGCUAGUUGGUGGGGUAAAGGCCUACCAAGGCGACGAUCUGUAGCGGGUCUGAGAGGAUGAUCCGCCACACUGGGACUGAGACACGGCCCAGACUCCUACGGGAGGCAGCAGUGGGGAAUAUUGGACAAUGGGGGGAACCCUGAUCCAGCCAUGCCGCGUGUGUGAAGAAGGCCUUAUGGUUGUAAAGCACUUUAAGCGAGGAGGAGGAGCUCUAGGCUAAUAUCCUAGAUGCUUGGACGUUACUCGCAGAAUAAGCACCGGCUAACUCUGUGCCAGCAGCCGCGGUAAUACAGAGGGUGCGAGCGUUAAUCGGAUUUACUGGGCGUAAAGCGUACGUAGGCGGCUUUUUAAGUCGGAUGUGAAAUCCCUGAGCUUAACUUAAGAAUUGCAUUCGAUACUGGGAAGCUAGAGUAUGGGAGAGGAUGGUAGAAUUCCAGGUGUAGCGGUGAAAAUGCGUACAGAUCUGGAGGAAUACCGAUGGCGAAGGCAGCCAUCUGGCCUAAUACUGACGCUGAGGUACGAAAGCAUGGGGAGCAAACAGGAUUAGAUACCCUGGUAGUCCAUGCCGUAAACGAUGUCUACUAGCCGUUGGGGCCUUUGAGGCUUUAGUGGCGCAGCUAACGCGAUAAGUAGACCGCCUGGGGAGUACGGUCGCAAGACUAAAACUCAAAUGAAUUGACGGGGGCCCGCACAAGCGGUGGAGCAUGUGGUUUAAUUCGAUGCAACGCGAAGAACCUUACCUGGUCUUGACAUAGUAAGAACUUUCCAGAGAUGGAUUGGUGCCUUCGGGAACUUACAUACAGGUGCUGCAUGGCUGUCGUCAGCUCGUGUCGUGAGAUGUUGGGUUAAGUCCCGCAACGAGCGCAACCCUUUUCCUUAUUUGCCAGCACUUAGGGUGGGAACUUUAAGGAUACUGCCAGUGACAAACUGGAGGAAGGCGGGGACGACGUCAAGUCAUCAUGGCCCUUACGACCAGGGCUACACACGUGCUACAAUGGUCGGUACAAAGGGUUGCUACCUAGCGAUAGGAUGCUAAUCUCAAAAAGCCGAUCGUAGUCCGGAUUGGAGUCUGCAACUCGACUCCAUGAAGUCG